RNAcentral lists this ribosomal RNA (440 nucleotides) under uncultured bacterium. RNAcentral's name for it is "partial 16S ribosomal RNA". It matches the Rfam family "Bacterial small subunit ribosomal RNA", at positions 338 to 795 of the family's 1533-position model. The record is from RNAcentral.
CCUACGGGCGUCAGCAGUGGGGAAUAUUGCACAAUGGGGGAAACCCUGAUGCAGCGACGCCGCGUGAGUGAAGAAGUAUCUCGGUACGUAAAGCUCUAUCAGCAGGGAAGAAAAUGACGGUACCUGACUAAGAAGCCCCGGCUAACUACGUGCCAGCAGCCGCGGUAAUACGGAGGGGGCAAGCGUUAUCCGGAUUUACUGGGUGUAAAGGGAGCGUAGACGGAAGCACAAGUCUGGAGUGAAAUCCCGGGACUUAACCCCGGAACUGCUUUGGAAACUGUGCGGCUGGAGUGCAGGAGGGGUAAGCAGAAUUCCUAGUGUAGCGGUGAAAUGCGUAGAUAUUAGGAGGAACAACGGUGGCGAAGGCGGCUUACUGGACUGUAACUGACGUUGAGGUUCGAAAGCGUGGGUAGCAAACAGGAUUAGAUACCCCGGUAGUC